Molecule: ribosomal RNA, 1501 nt
Filed under: metagenome
Description: bacterial LSU rRNA
Rfam family: Bacterial large subunit ribosomal RNA
Source: RNAcentral
UAGCUGGUUAAUAUUCCAGCACCUCGCGUAAGUGCGAUGGAGGGACGGAGAAGGUUAGGCAGACCGGGCGUUGGUUGUCUCGGUGAGAGGACUGAGGUGGUGCCCUUAGGCAAAUCCGGGGGUGCAACAUUGAGGUCAAGGACGAGCCCAAUUGGGCAGAGCUGCUGAUAUCACGCUUCCAGGAAAAGCUCCUAAGCUUCAGCUUACGCAGACCGUACCGUAAACCGACACAGGUGGACAGGAUGAGAAUUCUCAGGCGCUUGAGAGAACUCGGGUGAAGGAGCUAGGCAAAAUAGCACCGUAACUUCGGGAGAAGGUGCGCCUCGCAUGGUUAAUAGCUGAGCGAGGCCGAAGUAACCAGGCCGCUGCGACUGUUUAUCAAAAACACAGCACUCUGCAAACACGAAAGUGGACGUAUAGGGUGUGACGCCUGCCCGGUGCUGGAAGGUUAAUUGAUGGGGUCAGCCGCAAGGCGAAGCUCUUGAUCGAAGCCCCAGUAAACGGCGGCCGUAACUAUAACGGUCCUAAGGUAGCGAAAUUCCUUGUCGGGUAAGUUCCGACCUGCACGAAUGGCGUAACGAUGGCGGCACUGUCUCCACCCGAGACUCAGUGAAAUUGAAAUCGCUGUGAAGAUGCAGCGUUCCCGUGGCAAGACGGAAAGACCCCGUGAACCUUUACUAUAGCUUUACACUGAACGUUGAGUUCGUCUGUGUAGGAUAGGUGGGAGGCUGUGAAGUGUCGGCGCUAGCUGGCAUGGAGCCAUCCUUGAAAUACCACCCUGAUGUGCUUGACGUUCUAACUUAGGUCCGUAAUCCGGAUCGAGGACCGUGUAUGGUGGGUAGUUUGACUGGGGCGGUCUCCUCCCAAAGUGUAACGGAGGAGCUCGAAGGUACGCUCAGCGCGGUCGGACAUCGCGCACUGUGUGCAAAGGCAUAAGCGUGCUUGACUGCAAGAUCGACGGAUCAAGCAGGUAGGAAACUAGGACUUAGUGAUCCGGUGGUUCUGUAUGGAAGGGCCAUCGCUCAACGGAUAAAAGGUACUCCGGGGAUAACAGGCUGAUACCGCCCAAGAGUUCAUAUCGACGGCGGUGUUUGGCACCUCGAUGUCGGCUCAUCACAUCCUGGGGCUGUAGUCGGUCCCAAGGGUAUGGCUGUUCGCCAUUUAAAGUGGUACGCGAGCUGGGUUCAGAACGUCGUGAGACAGUUCGGUCCCUAUCUGUCAUGGGCGUUGGAGAUUUGAGAGGGGCUGCUCCUAGUACGAGAGGACCGGAGUGGACGAACCUCUGGUGUUCCGGUUGUCACGCCAGUGGCACUGCCGGGUAGCUAUGUUCGGAAGCGAUAACCGCUGAAAGCAUCUAAGCGGGAAGCGCGCCUCAAGAUGAGAUCUCCCGGGGCACAAGCCCCCUGAAGGAACCAUCAAGACCAGGUGGUUGAUAGGCAGGGUGUGUAAGCGCAGUAAUGCGUUGAGCUUACCUGUACUAAUGAUCCGUGUGGCUUGACCU